RNAcentral lists this ribosomal RNA (468 nucleotides) under uncultured bacterium. Its description in RNAcentral is "partial 16S ribosomal RNA". It matches the Rfam family "Bacterial small subunit ribosomal RNA", at positions 36 to 507 of the family's 1533-position model. The record is from RNAcentral.
GCCUCCCUCUUUCUUCGUGCUUAACACAUGCCAGUCGAACGGAAAGGCCCUGCUUUUGUGGGGUGCUCGAGUGGCGAACGGGUGAGUAACACGUGAGUAACCUGCCCUUGACUUUGGGAUAACUUCAGGAAACUGGGGCUAAUACCGGAUAGGAGCUCCUGCUGCAUGGUGGGGGUUGGAAAGUUUCGGCGGUUGGGGAUGGACUCGCGGCUUAUCAGCUUGUUGGUGGGGUAGUGGCUUACCAAGGCUUUGACGGGUAGCCGGCCUGAGAGGGUGACCGGCCACAUUGGGACUGAGAUACGGCCCAGACUCCUACGGGAGGCAGCAGUGGGGAAUAGUGCACAAUGGGCGGAAGCCUGAUGCAGCAACGCCGCGUGCGGGAUGACGGCCUUCGGGUGGUAAACCGCUUUCGCCUGUGACGAAGCGUGAGUGACGGUAAUGGGUAAAGAAGCACCGGCUAACUACGUG